RNAcentral lists this unclassified non-coding RNA (248 nucleotides) under plant metagenome. RNAcentral's name for it is "partial contains small subunit ribosomal RNA, internal transcribed spacer 1, and 5.8S ribosomal RNA". The record is from RNAcentral.
UUUCCGUAGGUGAACCUGCGGAAGGAUCAUUAAUGAAACCGGACCGUUCCUUUGCCGUAAAACGCACCGGAUUGGAAAGGGAGAUAUCAUACACCCUAUGUUUAUUUACUUUUGUUGCUUUGGUGGGCCGUCCUUUACGGCGUCGGCCUCGGCUGAUCGCGCCCGCCAGAGGACCCAAACUCUUUUAUUAGUGAUGUCUGAGUACUAUAUAAUAGUUAAAACUCUCAACAACGGAUCUCUUGGUUCUG